GCAGUGGUGAUUCAGUGGUAGAACUCUCACCUUCUAUGUAGGAGACCCAGGUUUAACUCCUGACCAAAGCA
RNAcentral lists this transfer RNA (71 nucleotides) under Loxodonta africana (African savanna elephant). It matches the Rfam family "tRNA". Rfam says of the family: Transfer RNA (tRNA) molecules are approximately 80 nucleotides in length. The record is from Rfam by way of RNAcentral. Lineage: Eukaryota; Metazoa; Chordata; Mammalia; Proboscidea; Elephantidae.